RNAcentral lists this ribosomal RNA (253 nucleotides) under uncultured bacterium. RNAcentral describes it as "partial 16S ribosomal RNA". It matches the Rfam family "Bacterial small subunit ribosomal RNA", at positions 524 to 776 of the family's 1533-position model. The record is from RNAcentral.
UACGUAGGGUGCAAGCGUUAAUCGGAAUUACUGGGCGUAAAGCGUGCGCAGGCGGUUGUGCAAUACCGAUGUGAAAUCCCCGGGCUUAACCUGGGAAUGGCAUUGGUGACUGCACGGCUAGAGUGUGUCAGAGGGGGGUAGAAUUCCACGUGUAGCAGUGAAAUGCGUAGAGAUGUGGAGGAAUACCGAUGGCGAAGGCAGCCCCCUGGGAUAACACUGACGCCCAUGCACGAAAGCGUGGGGAGCAAACAGG